RNAcentral lists this ribosomal RNA (199 nucleotides) under uncultured bacterium. Its description in RNAcentral is "partial 16S ribosomal RNA". It matches the Rfam family "Bacterial small subunit ribosomal RNA", at positions 328 to 539 of the family's 1533-position model. The record is from RNAcentral.
ACGCUCGACACCUACGGGAGGCCGCAGUCGGGAAUAUUGCGCAAUGGAGGAAACUCUGACGCAGUGACGCCGCGUAUGGGAAGAAGGUUUUCGGAUUGUAAACCAUUUUAGACAAGGAAGAAACAAGACAGUACUUGUAGAAUAAGCUCCGGCUAACUACGUGCCAGCAGCCGCGGUAAUCUGAGCGGGCUGGCAAGGC